This 3330-nucleotide long non-coding RNA is filed under the name Mus musculus (house mouse). RNAcentral describes it as "long non-coding RNA chrX:94234989-94238319". Lineage: Eukaryota; Metazoa; Chordata; Mammalia; Rodentia; Muridae. The record is from RNAcentral.
AGAAACCCGGAGACGCCGUCGUGUAUGUGGUUCCCGCUGGCGUUUCUGUUGCCCUCGGCCCCCUCAGCUGUCCCCCAGUUGGUGGUCCUGAGUCGCCUCUCCAGCCGAGCCCCGUGCAGUGCCGCGACAUCCCCCGGUAUUGGCGAGGCUGGGCCCCGGCCCCGACGCCGCGCGCGUCACGCCUAGCCCAACUGUUUGGACUCGCCACUCAACCGCUGUCUUCUUUCCCAGGACUGUUUCUCGGGGGGCCUCGGGCUUGCGAGCUCGCCCGGCGCCGGAGCGCUCCGGCCCGGCCAGGGAGCGGCCCCUUGUAGAGGUUCGAGGAGCUAUCGCGGUCCAUCCCGGCGCCCGACCCUCCCACCGUUCGGCCACUGGCCCACUUCUUCCUGAUGCAGACUGCCGUCCACUAGAGGCUGGACAGGACCCCCGAGGUGCGUAGCCGCCCCUGGCCGCCGGCCUGCGGAGCCCAGGCUUUGCUCGCGGCCCCGAGGAAGGCACGGGUUCCGUGGCCCUCACCGCACUGGCCGCACUCAAACAUUUUGUAGAUGCUGGGAGCUAAUUUGUCUUUUGAGUUUACUUAAAUUGUUUGAAAUGUAAAUUUUUUUCUGGUGGGAGGGGGGAGAGAGAGAGAGAGAGAGAGAGAGAGAGAGAGAGAGAGGAGAAAAAAAGGAAGAAGCAUAAUUCAGCCAUUUUUUGCAGCAUAGAGCUGCAGGUACCAUGAUUAUUUCCCCCUUAACCGGUUCCUUCCCUUUAAAAAUCCUGUUUGUGCCUUAAAUAGAACUAUGCGAAAUGUGCGGCAUAAUGCGUGCGGCAUAAUCAGAAUGUCUGGGUCCGACUGGGCGACUGAGAAAAUCUCGCACUGAGGAGAUCUCGGACGGAGCCUCAGUUUCUUAUCUAUGCGGUGUAGUCGAUAAUAGCCACAUCAGAGAGGUAGUGAGGACUAUAUGAGGUCAUAUAUGUGAAAAUAAUCUAUAGCUGUAUAGUGGUGUAGGAAAAUGUAAGGUCAUUUUCUUUAGGUAACCUUUGCUUGAGUGGUUAAUGUGGCUAACUGUUGCUGCCUCUUCAUUUCUAUAUUAUAAGUAAAUAAGGACUAGCAGAACAGCGCAGUGAUGGAUAGCUGUUUAAUAGUCAGUGUUCGUUGGCCUUCCCUCUACAAAAUGCCAACUGCUUAUUUAAAUAACGGUAUCCUUUAAUUCAAAUUUAAUGUUACUGUAGGGCUUUUCAUCUUUCUAGGCCUCUCAGCCCCCUUUCUUAUUCAGAAUAUUUAACACCUUAUAUUUAUUUAGUCUUUUUUAUUUUUAAGAGGUUCACUUCCUUUGUCAAUCUGAUUUACUGUUGUCAUUUUAAAAGCGUGUGUGUUUUUUAAUUUCAGUGUUUGCUUUUCGUAUCUACAGAACAGGAUGACUGAAUACUUCUAAUCAUUUGAAAAUGGUUUUUCAAGAGCUUACACAUGCAUCCAUGUUUCUCUAAUGCUCAGUAGAUCCAGCAAUGUACAGGGAAUUUCAACUUGUUAGCACUUCAUGCAAUAUUUGAGGAAUUCAGUUCUUGUUUUUAAUCACAGCACUUAGUAGGUGCUUUGAGUCCCAUUUCAUCAGUGGUAAAGGAUGUUAAUACUCUUUACUACCUGUUAAUUGGCAAGAAAUAAGAUAGUAAAUAUUUGUGGCUCGAAAAUAGAAUUUACUUUCUAGAGUUUCAAAACUGUAGAAUGUUUUGGCUUAUAAUAGUCAAUUAAAAGCGAAAGGAGCAUUUUGGAGUAUAUUAUUUUUAGUCUUCUUUUUUUUUCUGAGUAGAUGUUAAAAUUUUAAUUCCCUGGUCUGAUGCCAGUGGUCUUUCACAGUAUGCUUGUGUAUUUUUUAAAAAGACAGAUUAGGUUGGAAAAGGAACAGCCAGCUUUAAAGUGACUGCUUUUAUAUUUUGGCUUUAUCCCUUGUUCUGAAGAUAAUUUUCACAGAUCACUACUUUACUGAGCAUUUCUGAGUUUGACCUCUCUGCCUUGCUGUGGGUUAUCAUGGAGCCAAGGCUGACUUGACUGGCUUCAUGGAUGUUCAGAAGCCAGGCUUUAGACUUGGUUUAAUGAUGUGUGUAAACCAGCAUCGCACAAUAUAAAUAAUGGUAGAAUUUGUGCUAAGAAUUGAAAAUUUUUAUUUUUCUUUAUUUAGGACAACAUAUACCAACAAGUAGAAACAUAUCAUGACAAGUCAAGAGAGAUGGGAGAAAGGAAAAGAUGUUAUAUUUUAGUUCCUUUAACAGUUUCCCCCUGAUUUUAGCUCUGUCCCUGUGAUGUUGGUGGCCUAUGGUCAGGUUUGGGGACUGAAUGUUACAUGAGGACAAUGACUCUUGACCUGGGUGGGGGAUGUGCUGUAGAUUAAUUCGCUGUCAGACAUUUCCUCAGAAGUAGAGUGCUAUAGGCCAUUUGGGCUUUUUUAAAAUUAAAGAACAAAAGCUGGCCAUUAGUGAGGGCUUGUUGAAAUAGUGGUUUAUUAGGAAGGGGUAGAUCUCAGAAGACCCUAGCUCCAUAAUUUGAUAUCAUAACCUUAGGCCAGUAACUUAAUCUCAUAGUUUGGAUUUUUUCAUCUUUAAAUUGAAGUGGUUAUAGAACAUGGAAGUUUGUGAAGUAAAUUUGUCUGUACAUGAGGCAUUUACUAAGCAUUUCCUAUGUGCCACAUACUGUUCUAGGUGCUGGAGAUUCAGGUUAGUGUUAGUAGUUUUAACAAGGUUUUGUUUUCUCCCCCAGUCGUUCGCUAUAACCCAGGUUUGCCUUAAACUUGGGGUUAUCCUUGUGCCUCAGCCUCCCAUAGGCACAUGUAACUAUACCUGGUACAGAAAGUUAGUUUGGUGGCCCAUUUCUAUGGUUCUAGCACUAGGUGGUGGAGACAGUAGGGUCAGUUCAGAAUCUUCCUCAGCCUGGAAUAUGAGACCCUGUCUCAAAACAAAUUACUUCAGCAUAAAAUAUAGGGAAAAAAUAAGGCCGAGAGUGGAGAUAAAGAUUCUUUUUAGAUUCUUUAGAGGGUUUUGUAACUUCUAUUUAAGCUUUGUUUGUUUGCUUUUUUUUGAGACAGGGUUUCUCUGUGUAGUGUUGGCUGUCUUGGAACUCCUGUGUGUAGACCAGGCUAGCCUUGAACUCACAGAAAUCGACCUGCUCCUACCUCCUGAGUGCUGAGAAUAAAGGUGUGUGCCACCAAGUCCAUUGGGUUCUGUUAUUUUAAGACGGGUUUGGGACAAGGGCUCACUUCCUAGUGAUCUAAAGAGAGUCAUAGAUAUCUGGAUAGAGUGAUUCUAGCCAGAGAGGAACAACAAGUGGAGAGAGUCUGGUUUUCUAGGAACAGCAGC